GAUUUCUUUUGUGUUGCACAAUUUUGAUAUAAAGCAGCCCGUUCUUUAUUUUGAAUUUAAGCAGUUCAUUCUUUAGGGAACAUUUAGUUGCAAUUGGAGAGAAGGAAUUGGAGAUGUCUCAUUUAUCGUCAAUCGAGGUGACGAGACUACAACAGGAUAUGAAGAGCACAAAAAAGUUAAUGACAAUAUGAAGGAGAAGUUUACGGGAAAAUUUUCGUAGUACAGUAUUGUGAACUGAGAAAAGAGUGCACAUCACAAAAGAUAGCUGACCUGUCACCUUCUCCGAGCCCUAGGUUGAUUGAUGGGAUCUUCUAAACCAAGUUUGAUAUUAUAGAUUAGUGAUGUAGGAGUCGCACUUUCGAUGGUUUACAUAUCUGGAUCACCUGUGAUGUAACAUCAAAUUAAUUGUGAAGACUCUGCUUAAAUAAUGUCCACAUGAAGUCACGUCCUGCAGGUUCUGGUUAGGCAUGUGAAAGACUUCCAUUGACCCGAAGUAUACACGUCAAAUGUAGUGCACAGAGAAGUAUUACACGGUACAUAAUUUGUAUUUGUAGGUUCUUUAAACUUUACAUUUGGAAUUAUUAUUUUAUUCACUAUCUCGGUCGCUUAAUUUCAA
Erigeron canadensis is the source of this 616-nucleotide long non-coding RNA. RefSeq lists it as uncharacterized. The record is from RefSeq and is a predicted model, not a curated record. The transcript has 6 exons. NCBI's taxonomy places the organism in Eukaryota, Viridiplantae, Streptophyta, Magnoliopsida, Asterales, Asteraceae.